UUCCAAAGUAACCACUUUCAAAAAGAUUUUUCAAAAUCCAUAAGAAACCACUCCCCAGUGAGAGAAUUACCUUCCUAUUUGUUCAUUAUAAAAUGACUUUUUUGUUUGUCCAAGUUCAAAAUAAUAAAAUCGAUUUUUAAAUUAAGUCACGCUUCUUAUUACACACAUGAAAAUAAUAAUACCAACAGCAACUAAGAUAAAUCUCAG
Molecule: non-coding RNA, 207 nt
Organism: Pelobates cultripes (western spadefoot toad)
Lineage: Eukaryota; Metazoa; Chordata; Amphibia; Anura; Pelobatidae
Source: the annotation of a GenBank genome assembly